Long non-coding RNA from Conger conger (European conger), 713 nucleotides. RefSeq lists it as uncharacterized. NCBI's taxonomy places the organism in Eukaryota, Metazoa, Chordata, Actinopteri, Anguilliformes, Congridae. The record is from RefSeq and is a predicted model, not a curated record. The transcript has 2 exons.
ACUCGCAGCUCUUGGGUGUAGGGUGCGGACAAAAAUAAUCACAUUGAGGACAUCAAAGCCUUUGCUUUCCUUCUCAUUAACUGCAAAUUUGGGGAACUAAGUUUGAGUGACGACAACGAUUUCAACGUCUACUAUGGGGUCUGCGCGCAAAACACAGAAAAGGGCCAUAGGACAGACUACAGUGAAAAGACAGGAGAGGCAAGAUGGAAACAAACUGGACACAGGACAGAGGAGGAAGAAUGUGCUACACCACAACACCAGGCAGAGCCCUGCAACAAACAAACAACAGAAGCACAAUGCUGAAAGGAGUUGCUUGGGUGCAGAAUUGGUGAAUUUUGAUAUUGUCUGUUCUAUAUGAAUAAUUGUCAAAUUUCAGCUUGUUUGGCAUUGUACUUUCAUAUGUAUAAAAAAUAAAAUAAAAAAUAACAAUAUUGCUACAGGAUAUUCCAAAACACCAUUAUAGUAGUGAAUAUAGUAUCUUCUUUUGAAACUGGUAGGUACUUUUAACUUUCAACUUGUAGCCUACUAAUCAUUCGAGAGUAAUUCCUCAAUUUGUGUUGAAAUGCUUAUUUUAAUCUAAACUACUGCAUACAUAUUACUUUAAAAAAAUUAUAUCUGUGUUAUCAUUGGUAUAACAUUAAUUUGGUGUAAAAUGUAAUGCCUGAGGUUUCUGUUUUUAUUUUUGGUUCUGCAAUUAAAACAAAUCAAACCUA